GUGAAAAGUCGGUUGCUGACUUCCAAACUUUAUAUUACAGAGUAGUUCAUAAAACACUACUCAAAUGAAAUAAAGAUACCUGACACCUGGGUUUUACUUGAUUUGUAGAGCUGUAAAUGAGUGUACCGGAAGUGAUAAAUUGAGGAACCAGGAGCAUAGGAUAUUAAAAUGCUACAUGUGACUGAUAGCUGAGGAAGCCUGAUGAUGGCUGGAGAGAAGGUCUGUGAUGUUAUUCUAGGCCAUUCACCCCUUCCUGGAUUGCAAUCUCUUUAACUUUACAAAUUACUUGAAGACUUAAGAUUGCAAGUGAAUACGUAUGCAACCCUAUCAUCAACUGUGAUCAGCAGUAAAACUUGGAAGUCAAACGAAGUGAACUCAACCUGGUCUCUAAAUUCCAGAGUGAUUGCUUAUAUCAUUUGA
This 420-nucleotide long non-coding RNA is filed under the name Anas platyrhynchos platyrhynchos (common mallard). RNAcentral describes it as "lncRNA (ENSAPLG00000028868.1)". Lineage: Eukaryota; Metazoa; Chordata; Aves; Anseriformes; Anatidae. The record is from RNAcentral.